This 253-nucleotide ribosomal RNA is filed under the name uncultured bacterium. RNAcentral describes it as "partial 16S ribosomal RNA". It matches the Rfam family "Bacterial small subunit ribosomal RNA", at positions 524 to 776 of the family's 1533-position model. The record is from RNAcentral.
UACGAAGGGGGCUAUCGUUGUUCGGAAUCACUGGGCGUAAAGCGUACGUAGGCGGAUGCUUAAGUCAGAGGUGAAAGCCUGGAGCUCAACUCCAGAACUGCCUUUGAUACUGGGCGUCUUGAGUCCGGGAGAGGUGAGUGGAACUGCUAGUGUAGAGGUGAAAUUCGUAGAUAUUAGCAAGAACACCAGUGGCGAAGGCGGCUCACUGGCCCGGUACUGACGCUGAGGUACGAAAGCGUGGGGAGCAAACAGG